This 459-nucleotide ribosomal RNA is filed under the name uncultured bacterium. RNAcentral's name for it is "partial 16S ribosomal RNA". It matches the Rfam family "Bacterial small subunit ribosomal RNA", at positions 338 to 795 of the family's 1533-position model. The record is from RNAcentral.
CCUACGGGAGACAGCAGUGAGGAAUAUUGGUCAAUGGCCGGAAGGCUGAACCAGCCAAGCCGCGUGAAGGACGAAGGUGCCAAGCAUUGUAAACUUCUUUUGUCAAGGGACAAAAUCAGGCUCGAGAGCCUGACCGAGGGUACUUGAAGAAAAAGCAUCGGCUAACUCCGUGCCAGCAGCCGCGGUAAUACGGAGGAUGCGAGCGUUAUCCGGAUGUAUUGGGUUUAAAGGGUGCGUAGGCGGACUGUUAAGUCAGCGGUAAAAGCCCGGGGCUCAACCCCGGCGAGCCGUUGAAACUGGCUGUCUUGAGAUGUCGAGAGGUAUGCGGAAUGCGCAGUGUAGCGGUGAAAUGCAUAGAUAUCACGCAGAACUCCGAUUGCGAAGGCAGCAUACCGGCGCUCAACUGACGCUCAUGCACGAAAGCGUGGGUAUCGAACAGGAUUAGAUACCCGUGUAGUC